This is a long non-coding RNA of Epinephelus fuscoguttatus (brown-marbled grouper), 568 nucleotides long. RefSeq lists it as uncharacterized. The record is from RefSeq and is a predicted model, not a curated record. The transcript has 5 exons. Lineage: Eukaryota; Metazoa; Chordata; Actinopteri; Perciformes; Serranidae.
GAGAAAGCUUGUCUCCAUCUACAACACCACCAACAAAGAUGUUGACGAUCGCCCCACCAACGUUGUUGACCCCGAUGCUGAGAGUGACGACCCGAGUGAAACAUCACUUUGCACACCUUGCAGACCUUCACAAGUCACAUUGUUGGGAGACUGCAAAACGGGUGCUACUGAUGGGGCUCUUCAGUGUGGAUGUCCUCCUCAAGUCCAACCUGAGAGGAGGGGUCAGCAAGCUGGAUCCCUCUGCUGAGCGUCGGCAGGCUCUUGACCCAAGGAAAAUUCAAGCUUUACAAGGGCAGUCAUGGUGAUGAUAUUUUGCAAUCAGCCCGUCGCUUACUACAGUUACUGAGUUCGUCUGGUCAACAAGGUGCAGCCAGUGGUGGUGUCACAAAUCAACAUAUAAGAGAACAGAGACAGACAGCAUCACUUCAAACGGAAAUGACCAGGUCCUUUCCAGGUAUUUUCAGCAGGGGCAGAGGGAAGAGGCACUUUCCCGCAGCAAGUCCUGUUCCUGCCAAGAGGCCUAAACCAUUGGAUGUGGCUUUCUAUUUGUUGCCAAAGCAAUGUGAAA